GCAAGAGUAUGUCUAAAUAUACCACAGAGGCUGAAUGCCUCAUUUCUCCAAUGCAGUCAUUCUUCUGGCAUUAAAGACAAGUUAAAAUUAUUAAUACCUCUACUUCCAUCAAAAUCUAGGCAUUGUUUGAAUGCAUUUUUGUACUUUUAUAGUUGACCUCUCAAAAUACUCAAACAUGGAGUUCCAUCUUUAGUGUGUAUGGAUACAAUAUCUCCAUAUUGGAAAGCAACAAUGAAAUAACAAUAGCUGCAAUACCAACGUCAGUCUUGCAAGUUAUUUUAUGUGCAAAAUGAAGGGACACUUAAAAUAACCUUGAGUGUGGCUUUAAAGGCUUAAUUUACUAAAAAAUGCUAUUGUCUAGUUACAUAAGAGAGCAACUGGUUUUGUUAUGCUGUAUUAAAUUCUGGAGCUUUUAAAUUCUCUAAUCACUAUUGUGGGUGAAUCUGUCCUGAAGAUUUCUGUGUCACUUGUCACUAAGCAUUUUCCCCUUGCCUUCACAGUGAUGGGAAAAACCUAAUCAGUCUGGGUUCAUCAUGCUAAAGGGUAUUUGCUGAAAAUUCAUCACAUGUGAUCAGUGUAGAUUGCUCUCUGCAACAGACUAUCUAUCCAGCAAAACAAUAUCAAAAAAUUAAAAGGCAAACUGGGAGUGGAAAUCCUGGUCACAGGAUGCAAAAGUGGAACUACAUGAAUAUUUCAGAGACAUCUACAGAUUGUACAGUCAGAAUACCUCCACUACUAUUCUACAAGGAAUAUGCAGCAAGAGACGACAGUGCUUCCACCUAUGAAAAAGCUAUGGACUCCACAGUAUCUGCUCUGGCAUGCCAGCUGGCCUCUCCACACAUGUCUUCUGUCUCUCUCAUCAGCACGUAUGGAACAGAGAUGUGUGCUGUCACCUGGGAAGGAGGAAGGUAGGAAAAAAAAAGAGAUACUGGGAAAUUCUGGUAUGUUACCAAUGGGCGACACCUCAGGUGGAUCAUGGUGUGAAAACUGAUGGAAGAGGGGAAGAUGUAUAAUCCAGCCAUUUGUGCUGCUCAAGAAAGAACUGGUUUUCUGUGCCUAAAAGGAUUUAGGAGGUUCCAUGCAUGUUUUUCAGGAUUUCUUUUUGUCAUUCUGUUACAUUCUGCUUGGACAUUUUAUAGCUUUGAUUUCAAUUUUGAUAUGCAUGUGUAAUACAUUGUGAUGACUCUCACCUGAUUUCUAGCCAUGCUGUGUGGAAGGACCAGAAUUUAUUUUAUCUGUCCUACUUAAUCAUCUUUCCAAGAGGGAUAAAUACUCAUAGGUCAAGAAGGAACCUGGACUUGAGGACUGAAGAAAAAUAGCUUGUGAAAACUUAGGUUAAAGUCGUGGGCAUGGUUUUCUCUUUCAAGUUUUAUUAAUGUGAUGGUUUUAAAAUCUGUAACCCUACAUCUGUGCAAGUCCAUAGAGUUUGGGAGUUCGGCAAUGCUUUUUUGGUUAUUACGUAUAGAAUAGAGAUGCCAAAAAUAAGUGCAGUGAACCUCUGUCCAUAUUAUUUAAUAAAAACACUUUUUAUAUCA
This 1535-nucleotide long non-coding RNA is filed under the name Parus major (Great Tit). Its description in RNAcentral is "lncRNA (ENSPMJG00000013185.1)". The record is from RNAcentral. Lineage: Eukaryota; Metazoa; Chordata; Aves; Passeriformes; Paridae.